This is a long non-coding RNA of Tupaia belangeri chinensis (Chinese tree shrew), 3921 nucleotides long. RefSeq lists it as uncharacterized. The transcript is spliced from 3 exons. The record is from RefSeq and is a predicted model, not a curated record. Lineage: Eukaryota; Metazoa; Chordata; Mammalia; Scandentia; Tupaiidae.
AAGGUGUCCAUCACACACUGACCCCUCCGCUUUCCCUCCCCCAGGAGGGGCCCCCAAAGCCCCAUUAAGGAAGGUUUCCAGGGGCCAACAGGUGGGGUGGUUAAGGCACUGGAUUCCCACGGGACGACUGCAGUUUGUACCCCAUCUGUUAUGCUGGGUGCACGUGUGCACCCAAAAUCCUGAAAGGAGAAUGGGGGCAAAGGGAUUGCAGCAUGGCCAUCCCCCUGGGAGGUGAUUUCUCUUUCCCUCGGUCCCUGUCCCUCUCCAGUGAGCACACAUGUCCUAUGGCAACAACCAAAAAAAGGUGGGGGGAGAUUUUGAAAGCACACCCACGUCUCCAGAGCGGCUCUCUGUCCUGGGAGGCUGUCCCCAGACAGGCAACUGCGAGGACUUACGCCCGGGACCCAAGGCCACUAAGACUAGAUUCCCGAGCUGGCCCGUGCGAGUAAGUACGCCAAUGCCACGAGGUGGUUCAGACUCACGAGUGUUUAUUGAGUGCACACGUGCCAGGGCGACGGAGACACGGUCCCUGCUCUCCUGGAGCUUACAACCUCGUUACUCCAAUAUUUGACUACAUUUUUAGAAUGACAAACACUUGUCUUCGUCUAACCAUCAGCAACGCUACAUGAAGCAAAUUUUUCAUAUUAUUGGUCACUGUUACAGUGAAAUUGGUAAAUGUGAGUAAAACACAAUUAUCUUUGAAAUCUGUAGGCUUAGUACGGACACGGUAUGUAACACCCAGCAGAUGCAAACGUAUGGCUCUAUUCCUGAAUCUGAGGGCUCUGUGGAAAUACAGCACAGACCCCACAGAAGCACGAGCAGCACAGGGCCCGGGAGUCCUGCGGUUCAGUACGGUACCGAAUAGGCAGGGCGGGGAGUCACCUUCCAGAGAACGUGCGGUACAGUCGCUUGGCUCAGACCUGCGGAUCCUACCACCAACACGUCCCCUGUGGAAGGUAACCGAGAUUUACCCCGGGCCUCCCCAAGGGCACUGGGUGUGUGUCUAUUUCUUAAAGCUUCUUAAAGACUCAGCAUAAGCGGCUCACUAAAAUUGAGCGGAAACUGCUUUUGAGACGUCUAAAAAUGAAAACGACAGACACACCUAACGUUAGGAUACAGGAGAGCUCAGAACUAAAAUAGCACUCAGCAAAGCACGGCGGCUCUCGGCUAACGAGGGGAACGUUUACUGGUUGCUCCGGGCCCCAAAUCGUGCAUCUUUGCAAGCCCAGGGGCAGCACCUUGCGGUGCUCGGUGCUCUCGGGGAGCAUUCAGGGGAGCGAUUGCUGUGACCCCACUGCCAGUAACUCUGAGGGAAAUGGCCUCUACAUCAAAGCGCCCCAGGUCUCCACGCUCAUUAACAUCACAGUGCUUCCUGAAUUUACACGGGACAGGUUACCAGUUUUUAACUUAGUCAUUAAAAAUAUGGGAUGAAUUCCCUCUGGGAACUCACUUAAAACUCCAAGAGAGCUUUUUUAACUUUUUAUUUUGCAAAGAGUGGAGGGAACACUCGAGUGGAGGUCUGUCACCCGGCUGUGCCCAGGGCCAGGGGGCCCAGUAGCCACGUCUGCUAUUGCUUCAGCUAGCAAGGUCCUCCAAUCGUUAAGGACAUGUCCCCACCUAGGGCGCGGUCCUUGCAAGGAGCCUUCAGGACAGAAAACAAGGGAGCAGGGCCAGGCAUUGACAGGGAAUCUGCUUUCAUGCAUUUCAAAAGGCAGUUCCCAGAAGUGGAAGAUUCACUUCAGAUUUUACUUCUUUAGCCAGCAACAAAAGAAAAAAGCUUACCUCUUUGAGAUGACAGCUCCUGCAAUAUUUAAGUCUGCCAUCUUUCCUACUCUCCAGUUAUUUUUUUUUUUUUAGUUGAGUGUUUUCAAGAUAAGCCUUUCCAAAGGGAAGGACAAUUCAAAGAAUUUUCUUGGCUUCCCUCUUCACAGCUAUAAAGGAAAAAGGUGACAUUUCUUUCUUCCUUAUUGAGUGACUGACAGUUCCAACUCAUUACAUACUUCAAAAACCAAAGCAUACCCUUCUGCGGGGCAGAGACAUUCUGAUGGAGCUUAAUGCCUUUUGGAAUAAGCUAAUGUAGGGUACUAAAAAGUUAACUCCUUGCCAAGAUAAAACUACCAUCUUUUGAAGUGGCAAUUUCCUUAUUCUUAAGAAUAUAGUAGGCUUGGGGCCAGCAGGUGGCAUGGUUAAGGCGCUGGACACUCCCACAGGGUCGACCAUGGUUUGAGUCCCAGACCUGGUGGCUUGCUUUCUCACUUUCCCUCUCUCCCUGUGUCUCUUUCUGGUCAAAUUAAAAUAAAUGGAUAAAUAAAUUUUAAAAAAGAAUACAGUAGGCUUUAUAAUAAAAAUAGGGACCAAAGAAAUAUUCUAACCGUGUUCAAGUUGGUAUACUUUGUUUUUAGGAAGCAGAGAAGGGAGGUCCCUCCAGUGGGGCAGCCACACUGCCCUCCACUCUCCUCUGCCCCUUCCUGCAUCCUGAAGGGGCUAGGGCACCCCCACGUAGGGCCUGCCUCCCUUAACCAGCAGGCUCCCAGGCGGCCCUCAGUCAGCCCCACUGUCAUAGCAGGGGCACUCUGAAGAGGAGGGGCGAUCAGCACGGUCAGUCCCCUCACCGGGCCUGCCACGAAGCUGCACUGAGAGGCAGAUACACUUUUCCGUUAGGAGAUUUAAGGGGGAAAGAGGCUAGGAAAACUACCAAGGAUAAAGGCACUUGAUUCUGUUGGUAAUUUUAGUCACCUGGUUGCAGGAGUUGGGAGCAGAUGCCAGCCAGCCCCUCUAUUCAGAGGGCUCCCGGGCUGAGAGGCCCCCAGGCUGAGGGCAGGGCCUUGGCCAGCCCUGGAGAUAACUGGGGCCAAGUCAGGUGAACGGAGCUCACAGGCCGGCUUGGCUCACUAGAACAAUUUAUCAGUGGGAGCCGUGUAGGAGAAAAAGCUCUAAAGCAAACCAAAACGUGAGACCUGAGCGUUUGCAGUGAGAGCCAACUUUGGAAGAGUCCUUUAGCUGCGAGGACUGAGUGUGACCACCUGGGCACUGGGUCCUGCCAGCACCAGACAGUGGGUGGGGGGAGCAGCAGCAGCCGGGCAGCGUGGGCGGUCCCAACAGGAACCUGCAAGCACCCCGGACCAGAGCAGUGCCCGCUGGCCAGGCCCAGGAAAAGGCGCUGUCGGACAUGUCCCCGGCCCGUGACAGAGCCGACCGCUCUCACUUAAAACCUAGUGCUCCGACAGCACCGACAGGGGUGGAGGGGCGAGGACCCGGACUCACAGCUGAAACCAUGCACUAGCUUAGGACACCUGUGCUACUCUCCUGAGGCCUUCCUGGGCGGGGCAGCCAGCAGUUCCUCCAAGCGUUAUCUGCAGCUUACUGCCCAGGGCCGGCCAGGAGUGCUGCUCAGAAAAGGGCGGAGCGCGACGGCUGGCAGUGGCACACAGGGACGAAAUCAGAGUCCCGUCCCGCCCAUCUUUCUUCUUUCCCGAUGAAGCUUAAGGGAAGCAAAGUGAGUUGUAUCCAUGUAGUUUUCAGAGCUUCCCGACAGCCCUCCCUACGAUCCUGACGUGCACCCUCCGAGCGCUUCUGCCAGGACCUGUAGCCAGGGUCUCGCAAGCCUCUGCCCUGAGCCCCCAGCCCUGCGGUGACAGCUUCUGUACUCGGCGUGCAUUACUCUACCGUGGAAGCUGCUGCCGAUCUUCCAAGGCUUCCUGGGUGAAAAGAACGGAAAAGGCCAGGUUAGAGAAGUCUACAUCAAGCUCCGCAGGUCUGUAACUACCACCAAGCUGACCUCUUAGCGAAAGAGCGAGUGUCUGAAGGUCAAACCAGCCUUCACCUGAAAGCCAGCAUGCAGCUCUACAGCACUCAGUCACCAAACACUCCUGCAAAGGCCUCGGGCCUCGACUGCGGCCAGUGAGCCUGGGACUGCGCCCC